RNAcentral lists this long non-coding RNA (274 nucleotides) under Mytilus galloprovincialis (Mediterranean mussel). Lineage: Eukaryota; Metazoa; Mollusca; Bivalvia; Mytilida; Mytilidae. The record is from RNAcentral.
ACGACAGUUAAGAAAGACGUUCACAAAACAUGGAGCUCAUUUCAUAUGAUUCUAUGAGAACAAGAAAGGCGACAGCGUUGUUUCUAUUAAUUCAAAUGGAACAAGAAGAGCAGCUAUUACAGGCUCAGGAUUUACUUUUACAAGUAAAAUAUUAUUUUGUGUCAAUUUUUCAUAUCAAGUAACAUAAUGAAAAUUAUAAACGCGCCUCGUACACCAAUACUGCAGGUACACCUAUAUAGGGAAACCAACUUUUUCUUCAUUAUUCUGAUUUUUU